CUACGGGAGGCAGCAGUUUCGAAUCAUUCACAAUGGGCGAAAGCCUGAUGGUGCGACGCCGCGUGAGGGAUGAAGGUCUUCGGAUUGUAAACCUCUGUCACUGGGGAGGAAACGCUUUGAGCUAAUAGUUCAAAGCCUGACUUAACCCGGAGAGGAAGCAGUGGCUAACUCUGUGCCAGCAGCCGCGGUAAUACAGAGACUGCAAGCGUUAUUCGGAUUCACUGGGCGUAAAGGGUGCGCAGGCGGCCAAGUGUGUGAGGCGUGAAAGCCCGGGGCUUAACCCCGGAAUUGCACCUCAAACUACAUGGCUAGAGCAUUGGAGAGGGUAGCAGAAUUCACGGUGUAGCAGUGAAAUGCGUAGAUAUCGUGAGGAAUACCAGAGGCGAAGGCGGCUACCUGGACAAUUGCUGACGCUCAGGCACGAAAGCGUGGGGAGCAAAAGGGAUUAGAAACCCCAGUAGUCC
This 464-nucleotide ribosomal RNA is filed under the name uncultured bacterium. Its description in RNAcentral is "bacterial SSU rRNA". It matches the Rfam family "Bacterial small subunit ribosomal RNA", at positions 339 to 796 of the family's 1533-position model. The record is from RNAcentral.